GGAGAGCUUGCUCUCUGGUGGCGAGUGGCGAACGGGUGAGUAAUGCAUCGGAACGUACCGAGUAAUGGGGGAUAACUGUCCGAAAGGAUGGCUAAUACCGCAUACGCCCUGAGGGGGAAAGCGGGGGAUCGAAAGACCUCGCGUUAUUUGAGCGGCCGAUGUUGGAUUAGCUAGUUGGUGGGGUAAAGGCCUACCAAGGCGACGAUCCAUAGCGGGUCUGAGAGGAUGAUCCGCCACAUUGGGACUGAGACACGGCCCAAACUCCUACGGGAGGCAGCAGUGGGGAAUUUUGGACAAUGGGGGGAACCCUGAUCCAGCCAUGCCGCGUGUCUGAAGAAGGCCUUCGGGUUGUAAAGGACUUUUGUUAGGGAAGAAAAGCCGGGUGUUAAUACCACCUGGUGCUGACGGUACCUAAAGAAUAAGCACCGGCUAACUACGUGCCAGCAGCCGCGGUAAUACGUAGGGUGCGAGCGUUAAUCGGAAUUACUGGGCGUAAAGCGAGCGCAGACGGUUAAUUAAGUCAGAUGUGAAAUCCCCGAGCUCAACUUGGGACGUGCAUUUGAAACUGGUUAACUAGAGUGUGUCAGAGGGAGGUAGAAUUCCACGUGUAGCAGUGAAAUGCGUAGAGAUGUGGAGGAAUACCGAUGGCGAAGGCAGCCUCCUGGGAUAACACUGACGUUCAUGCUCGAAAGCGUGGGUAGCAAACAGGAUUAGAUACCCUGGUAGUCCACGCCCUAAACGAUGACAAUUAGCUGUUGGGACGCUAGAUGUCUUAGUAGCGAAGCUAACGCGUGAAAUUGUCCGCCUGGGGAGUACGGUCGCAAGAUUAAAACUCAAAGGAAUUGACGGGGACCCGCACAAGCGGUGGAUGAUGUGGAUUAAUUCGAUGCAACGCGAAGAACCUUACCUGGUCUUGACAUGUACGGAAUCUCUUAGAGAUAGGAGAGUGCCUUCGGGAACCGUAACACAGGUGCUGCAUGGCUGUCGUCAGCUCGUGUCGUGAGAUGUUGGGUUAAGUCCCGCAACGAGCGCAACCCUUGCCAUUAGUUGCCAUCAUUAAGUUGGGCACUCUAAUGAGACUGCCGGUGACAAA
Molecule: ribosomal RNA, 1093 nt
Filed under: uncultured bacterium
Lineage: Bacteria
Description: bacterial SSU rRNA
Rfam family: Bacterial small subunit ribosomal RNA
Source: RNAcentral